GAUGAAGAACGUAGCGAAAUGCGAUAAGUAAUGUGAAUUGCAGAAUUCAGUGAAUCAUCGAAUCUUUGAACGCACAUUGCGCCCGCCAGUAUUCUGGCGGGCAUGCCUGUUCGAGCGUCAUUUCAACCAUCAAGCCCCCGGCUUGUGUUGGGGACCUGCGGCUGCCGCAGGCCCUGAAAAGCAGUGGCGGGCUCGCUGUCACACCGAGCGUAGUAGCAUACAUCUCGCUCUGGGCGUGCUGCGGGUUCCGGCCGUUAAACCACCUUCAUAACCCAAGGUUGACCUCAGAUCAGGUAGGAAGACCCGCUGAACUUAAGCAUAUCAAUAAGCGGAGGA
Molecule: unclassified non-coding RNA, 336 nt
Filed under: soil metagenome
Description: partial contains 5.8S ribosomal RNA, internal transcribed spacer 2, and large subunit ribosomal RNA
Rfam family: 5.8S ribosomal RNA (bases 1-120)
Source: RNAcentral